GCAAGUCGAACGCGUCUCCGUUGAUGAUUUUAGGUGCUUGCACUUGAAAGAUUUAACAUUGAGACGAGUGGCGAACUGGUGAGUAACACGUGGGUAACCUGCCCUUGAAGUAGGGGAUAACACUUGGAAACAGGUGCUAAUACCGUAUAACAACCAAAACCACCUGGUUUUGGUUUAAAAGACGGCUUCGGCUGUCACUUUAGGAUGGACCCGCGGCGUAUUAGCUUGUUGGUAAGGUAACGGCCUACCAAGGCGAUGAUACGUAGCCGACCUGAGAGGGUAAUCGGCCACAUUGGGACUGAGACACGGCCCAAACUCCUACGGGAGGCAGCAGUAGGGAAUCUUCCACAAUGGACGAAAGUCUGAUGGAGCAACGCCGCGUGAGUGAUGAAGGGUUUCGGCUCGUAAAACUCUGUUGUUGGAGAAGAACAGGUGUCAGAGUAACUGUUGACAUCUUGACGGUAUCCAACCAGAAAGCCACGGCUAACUACGUGCCAGCAGCCGCGGUAAUACGUAGGUGGCAAGCGUUGUCCGGAUUUAUUGGGCGUAAAGCGAGCGCAGGCGGUUUUUUAGGUCUGAUGUGAAAGCCUUCGGCUUAACCGGAGAAGUGCAUCGGAAACCGGGAGACUUGAGUGCAGAAGAGGACAGUGGAACUCCAUGUGUAGCGGUGAAAUGCGUAGAUAUAUGGAAGAACACCA
This 698-nucleotide ribosomal RNA is filed under the name Lentilactobacillus buchneri. RNAcentral's name for it is "bacterial SSU rRNA". It matches the Rfam family "Bacterial small subunit ribosomal RNA", at positions 57 to 711 of the family's 1533-position model. The record is from RNAcentral. Lineage: Bacteria; Bacillati; Bacillota; Bacilli; Lactobacillales; Lactobacillaceae.